This 1287-nucleotide long non-coding RNA is filed under the name Sus scrofa (pig). Its description in RNAcentral is "lncRNA (ENSSSCG00055004415.1)". Lineage: Eukaryota; Metazoa; Chordata; Mammalia; Artiodactyla; Suidae. The record is from RNAcentral.
GCAAGGGGCUCACGCGCACACUGCUCACCUUCUUCGACCUGGCCUGGCGGCUGCGCAUGAACUUCCCCUACGUCUACGUCUUGGCCUCGGUGAUGCUCAACGUGCGCCUGCAGGUGCGGAUCGAGUGAGCGCCCGCCGCCACCACCGCCCGGCCACGACAGCAGGGGCGCGGGCAUGAGGGACGGCGGGGCCAGGGGCCACCUAGACGGGCGGGAAGGAAUCGAGACCGCUCGGGCCCCCGGGCCUUAGACCUCCGCGGAGGACACGGCCACCGAGCUCGGACCUGGCCGCGACCCGCCCACCCACGUCGCGGCUGGAGCCGCGGCGCACAGAAAGCCGCGAAACGGGCCCUUUGCAUUGGCCUCGACCUGUUGCCUCCCCUUGGCCGAAGAGGAAAGCAGAAGGAAGACAUUCUUCAGCCGGAAAGUGAAAGACUGGCCCGGACCCAAAAGGCCCUGGUGUUACAGGAGGUGACCCGCUCCUUCUCUGGUCUCCUCCAGGGAGGCAAGGUGGGCCCAGAGCUGCCUGGGGAGCAGCCAAGAGAAGGGCCCGACCCAGGAGGAGAGGAAGGGCCUUCCAGGCAGAGACCCUGAGAGCCGGGCUGGCCCAGUGGUCUGGUUCUGGCGAGAGGAAGGAAGGACGGACCUAGGACGCUGUGGGGGAGCUCUGUCCUCCUCAGCCACUGACUGGGGACACUGGGGCUCCCGGAGGGGGGGAUUGGCCCUUGUUACACAGAUAAGAAGCAGUGGAGCUGAAUCUGCCUUUGGCCUGCACCCCCACCCCACCCCCGAGUCUUCCGGAAGACCUGGCACUGUGGGAUGGGGGAGGGGAGCCCAGGCUCCCUGGGGACUCGGGGGGAGGGCAUGGGAAGGUGGGAAACUAGCUCUCCUUGGGGUGUGUGGGAGGUCACAGGGAAGACCAGGGGACUGAGCUGAGAGGGGCCCGGGAGAGACGGGUCCCAGAAGCCCCUGGGGGCCGAGGGCCUCUCCCACAGAGCUGGGCCUCCCCCCCCUCCCCAGGCUUGACCCAGGGCCGCUCAGGUGAUGAAGACAAGCCUGUCCAUUUGGGGGAUGGGGUGAGGAGGCUGGGGGUGUUGGGUGGCUCCGGAGACAUGAUGUGACCAGGGGGGGAAGGCUGAGCCUGGGUGGGAUGGGGCCGAGAGCCACGCGAGACCCCACCUCCCUGUCCCCAGGCUGGCCCACCUGCCCAGGUUUGCCUGGGAGAAUCUCCACUAGCGGGGCUCCCGUGGUCCUGGAGGCCCGGCCGUGCUGUUGACUGGCACCCCGG